Unclassified non-coding RNA from Mesocricetus auratus (golden hamster), 283 nucleotides. Its record names the gene 7SK. It matches the Rfam family "7SK RNA". From Rfam's summary of the family: 7SK was discovered as an abundant small nuclear RNA in the mid-70s but a possible function has only recently been suggested. Two independent studies have found that 7SK RNA binds the CDK9/cyclin T complex (known as elongation factor P-TEFb). Lineage: Eukaryota; Metazoa; Chordata; Mammalia; Rodentia; Cricetidae. The record is from Ensembl.
GGGCAGUGUGGCUGUGACAUCUGUCAUCCCAUUGAUUGCUAGGGGUGGUCCUGGUGUCCUCAUAACGGCUCCAUCUGUGUCCCGUGAAGACACUUGCUGGUUUGAGGAGGACCUUCUUAGGGGAGGACCAGUGCUUUGUCAAAGAUUUACAUAUAACUGCACUCCUCAGCUAGAACCUCCCAACCAGCUUUCAAGGUCCAUUUGCAGAGGAACAUGGCAGUCAAGCUUCCGAGACUCAGGGCACACCAAAUGAGGAACCGCGCGUGGCGGUCUGCCUUUCUUU